ACGCGAGCGUUAUCCGGAGUUACUGGGCGUAACGCGCGUGCAGGCGGUCUGCCACGUCUGAUGUGAAAUCUCCGGGCUUAACCGGGAGAGGCCAUUGGAAACUGACAGGCUGGAGGGCAGUAGAGGUAGGCGGAAUUCCGGGUGGAGUGGUGAAAUGCGUAGAGAUCCGGAGGAACACCAGAGGCGAAGGCGGCCUACUGGGCUGCACCUGACGCUGAGGCGCGAAAGCCAGGGGAGAAAACGGG
RNAcentral lists this ribosomal RNA (245 nucleotides) under uncultured bacterium. RNAcentral describes it as "partial 16S ribosomal RNA". It matches the Rfam family "Bacterial small subunit ribosomal RNA", at positions 532 to 776 of the family's 1533-position model. The record is from RNAcentral.